Molecule: ribosomal RNA, 497 nt
Filed under: uncultured bacterium
Lineage: Bacteria
Description: partial 16S ribosomal RNA
Rfam family: Bacterial small subunit ribosomal RNA
Source: RNAcentral
GAUGAACGCUGGCGGCGUGCAUAAUACAUGCAAGUCGAGCGAACGGACGAGAAGCUUGCUUCUCUGAUGUUAGCGGCGGACGGGUGAGUAACACGUGGAUAACCUACCUAUAAGACUGGGAUAACUUCGGGAAACCGGAGCUAAUACCGGAUAAUAUUUUGAACCGCAUGGUUCAAAAGUGAAAGACGGUCUUGCUGUCACUUAUAGAUGGAUCCGCGCUGCAUUAGCUAGUUGGUAAGGUAACGGCUUACCAAGGCAACGAUGCAUAGCCGACCUGAGAGGGUGAUCGGCCACACUGGAACUGAGACACGGUCCAGACUCCUACGGGAGGCAGCAGUAGGGAAUCUUCCGCAAUGGGCGAAAGCCUGACGGAGCAACGCCGCGUGAGUGAUGAAGGUCUUCGGAUCGUAAAACCCUGUUAUUAGGGAAGAACAUAUGUGUAAGUAACUGUGCACAUCUUGACGGUACCUAAUCAGAAAGCCACGGCUAACUACGUG